CUCAACAACUGACUCACCGUAUUGUUUCUUGGCGAACAGUUUUGCACUCUAUGUGUGUCCUCAGUGCAUGACGCGUUUCCCUGCAGGGCCUUUGGCUGCUGCAGCUCGAAGCCAGAGGUAGAAGCAGAAGAAGCAGGAGACUAAUGCGCAGAAGAUGCUUGUGGGAGAUAGAAGAAGAUCUUUUUAGCAAUGUCAAAUGGGAAGUGAUAAACGAGGAAUUCCAGUUGUUGAAAACGACUCGAGAGGGUCAGACGGCCGCACUGGAGGGACUGAAGCGGCUCUGACACUUCGCCUUCCAUUCCCGAGUCUCGAAAGUGGAGGAACCAUGCCCCCUUGCACAUCCAUGCAACUACGCCCCUGCCUGAUGACAGUCCAAUGAAAUUGCGAUCCUGUAUGCUGGCCACGCUCAGGACAGAAAGAGCAGACAGGAAGAGGAAGUCAGACAGACAACAGGAAAUGACUCCAGCACGACAGGAAUUCUCUCAGGUCCGCAAUGAUUGAAGACAUGGGUCCAAAUAUGAUGGUUGCCAUGGUGGCAGCCGACAAAACACUCCUGAUGCUCCACACACAACCAGAUUCUUUUUGGAGAUUACGGGAUGAUGAUUCACUUUUAAAGUAUGUCGAGAUGUGUCC
This is a long non-coding RNA of Hippocampus comes (tiger tail seahorse), 633 nucleotides long. RefSeq lists it as uncharacterized. NCBI's taxonomy places the organism in Eukaryota, Metazoa, Chordata, Actinopteri, Syngnathiformes, Syngnathidae. The record is from RefSeq and is a predicted model, not a curated record. The transcript has 5 exons.